This 253-nucleotide ribosomal RNA is filed under the name uncultured bacterium. RNAcentral describes it as "partial 16S ribosomal RNA". It matches the Rfam family "Bacterial small subunit ribosomal RNA", at positions 524 to 776 of the family's 1533-position model. The record is from RNAcentral.
GACGAACCGUGCGAACGUUGUUCGGAAUCACUGGGCUUAAAGGGCGCGUAGGCGGGCGGCCGAGUCCGGGGUGAAAGCCCCCAGCUCAACUGGGGAAGUGCCCCGGAGACUGGCCGCCUCGAGGGAGGUAGGGGCGUGCGGAACUUCCGGUGGAGCGGUGAAAUGCGUAGAUAUCGGAAGGAACACCGGUGGCGAAAGCGGCGCGCUGGACCUCUGCUGACGCUGAGGCGCGAAAGCCAGGGGAGCAAACGGG